Acanthosepion pharaonis is the source of this 112-nucleotide non-coding RNA. The record is from the annotation of a GenBank genome assembly. Lineage: Eukaryota; Metazoa; Mollusca; Cephalopoda; Sepiida; Sepiidae.
UACAGCCAUAUCAUGUUGAAACACCAGUUGCUCUCCGAUCACCGAAGUUAAGCAACGUCAAGCCUGGUCAGUACCUAGAUGGGUGACCACUUGGGAAUACCAGGUACUGUAA